RNAcentral lists this ribosomal RNA (467 nucleotides) under uncultured bacterium. RNAcentral's name for it is "partial 16S ribosomal RNA". It matches the Rfam family "Bacterial small subunit ribosomal RNA", at positions 29 to 507 of the family's 1533-position model. The record is from RNAcentral.
AGUGAACGCUGGCGGUAGGCCUAACACAUGCAAGUCGAACGGCAGCACAGUAAGAGCUUGCUCUUACGGGUGGCGAGUGGCGGACGGGUCAGGUAUGCUUCGGAAUCUACUUUUUCGUGGGGGCUAACGUAGGGAAACUUACGCUAAUACCGCAUACGUCCUACGGGUGAAAGCAGGGGAUCUUCAGACCUUGCGCGAUUGAAUGAGCCGAUGUUGGAUUAGCUAGCUGGCGGGGUAAAGGCCCACCAAGGCCACGAUCGGUAGCUGGUCUGAGAGGAUGAUCAGCCACACUGGGACUGGGACACGGCCCAGACUCCUACGGGAGGCAGCAGUGGGGAAUAUUGGAAAAUGGGCGAAAGCCUGAUCCAGCAAUGCCGCGUGAGUGAUGAAGGCCUUAGGGAUGUAAAGCUCUUUUACCCGGGAUGAUAAUGACAGUACCGGGAGAAUAAGCUCCGGCUAACUCCGUG